UGCCCCGUGGUCCAGUUGGAAUGGAUGGCUGGCUUUGACCCAGCAGACUCAGGUUCAAUCCCUGACGGGGCAGCCA
Molecule: transfer RNA, 76 nt
Filed under: marine sediment metagenome
Description: tRNA-Gln
Rfam family: tRNA
About the family: Transfer RNA (tRNA) molecules are approximately 80 nucleotides in length. Their secondary structure includes four short double-helical elements and three loops (D, anti-codon, and T loops).
Source: RNAcentral